RNAcentral lists this ribosomal RNA (301 nucleotides) under uncultured bacterium. Its description in RNAcentral is "partial 16S ribosomal RNA". It matches the Rfam family "Bacterial small subunit ribosomal RNA", at positions 509 to 807 of the family's 1533-position model. The record is from RNAcentral.
CAGCCGCCACGGUAAUACGAAGGGUGCAAGCGUUACUCGGAAUUACUGGGCGUAAAGCGUGCGUAGGCGGCUUCUUAAGUCGGAUGUGAAAUCCCUGAGCUUAACUUAGGAAUUGCAUUCGAUACUGGGAAGCUAGAGUAUGGGAGAGGAUGGUAGAAUUCCAGGUGUAGCGGUGAAAUGCGUAGAGAUCUGGAGGAAUACCGAUGGCGAAGGCAGCCAUCUGGCCUAAUACUGACGCUGAGGUACGAAAGCAUGGGGAGCAAACAGGAUUAGAUACCCGUGUAGUCCCUGUCUCUUAUAC